Molecule: ribosomal RNA, 465 nt
Filed under: Vreelandella stevensii
Lineage: Bacteria; Pseudomonadati; Pseudomonadota; Gammaproteobacteria; Oceanospirillales; Halomonadaceae
Description: partial 16S ribosomal RNA
Rfam family: Bacterial small subunit ribosomal RNA
Source: RNAcentral
CCUACGGGGGGCUGCAGUGGGGAAUAUUGGACAAUGGGCGAAAGCCUGAUCCAGCCAUGCCGCGUGUGUGAAGAAGGCCUUCGGGUUGUAAAGCACUUUCAGUGGGGAAGAAAGCCUUGGGGCUAAUACCCUCGAGGAAGGACAUCACCCACAGAAGAAGCACCGGCUAACUCCGUGCCAGCAGCCGCGGUAAUACGGAGGGUGCGAGCGUUAAUCGGAAUUACUGGGCGUAAAGCGCGCGUAGGCGGUCUGAUAAGCCGGUUGUGAAAGCCCCGGGCUCAACCUGGGAACGGCAUCCGGAACUGUCAGGCUAGAGUGCAGGAGAGGAAGGUAGAAUUCCCGGUGUAGCGGUGAAAUGCGUAGAGAUCGGGAGGAAUACCAGUGGCGAAGGCGGCCUUCUGGACUGACACUGACGCUGAGGUGCGAAAGCGUGGGUAGCAAACAGGAUUCGAUACCCUAGUAGUC